UACGUAGGGGGCAAGCGUUGUCCGGAUUUAUUGGGCGUAAAGCGCUCGCAGGUGGUUCGGUGCGUCGUGCGUGAAAGACCCCGGCUCAACUGGGGGGUGUCGUGCGAUACGGGCAGACUAGAGUUCGGCAGGGGAGACUGGAAUUCCUGGUGUAGCGGUGAAAUGCGCAGAUAUCAGGAGGAACACCGGUGGCGAAGGCGGGUCUCUGGGCCGAUACUGACGCUGAGGAGCGAAAGCGUGGGGAGCGAACAGG
Molecule: ribosomal RNA, 253 nt
Filed under: uncultured bacterium
Lineage: Bacteria
Description: partial 16S ribosomal RNA
Rfam family: Bacterial small subunit ribosomal RNA
Source: RNAcentral